The sequence is a regulatory RNA element, 94 nucleotides long. It matches the Rfam family "c-di-GMP-I riboswitch aptamer". From Rfam's summary of the family: GEMM was predicted in a large-scale screen for bacterial structured RNA regulatory elements. The record is from Rfam.
UUCAGAUAUAGGCAAUAUUAGAUAAAUCUAAUGACGCAAAACUAUAGGGACUAAAAUCUUUAUGUAAUAAAGGUCAUGUCAGCCAGUUGCCAAA